AGUCUUGAACCGGACUCAAGUGAUCUUCUUGCCUUAGCCUCCCAAAGCGUGGGGAUUCUAGGCAUGAGCCACCUCGUCUGGUCAAGGAGAAGGCCCAAUUUUGAAGGGCAGGUCCCAGGGUCAGCCAGGAAAGGGCAGAGCCUCUGAUUGCUGCUUCUCUGCUUGCAGGCCCCGAGGCGGCUGCUGGGGUGCACUGGGGGUCUUCCUGCUGCAGGGCAGGCCAGGCCAGAUGGGGCUCAGGCUGUCAGGGUGCUCACACCUGGCGCUUUGGCUGUCGUAGGUGUGGCUGACCGCACAGACGUCACUGGGGCCUUUUUCUGACUUCUACACACUCCCUGUGGCGAUUCGCACUGUGGCUAUCACCGAGAGCCAGUUCCUCAUCAAUGGGAAACCUUGCUAUUUCCACAGUGUCAGCAAGCAUGAGGAUGCAGAUGUCCACUGGGGCUCCUGGGUCCUCGUGGGGGCUGCCUCUGGUCACCUUCCACUUUCGCCUUCCCUGUGUCCUGCAGUUCAGGGCAAUGAGGCAAAUGAGCUUCCCUGUGGCAGCUAAGGGUAAUGAGGCAAAUGGCUCCAAACCACCCUGCUGUGGAGCUGGUGGUUGGGCUGGAGAGGGGGCUCAUCGGGUGGCUUUCCAGGGUCCUGGCUCUUGGAGGGGUCCUGGCUCUUGGAGGAAGUGCAGCUUUGACAGGGAUGGGUCACUUGACUCUGCUGUCCCCUAAAUCUGAGAGAGGGACUUCGACUGUCUGCUGCUGGUGAAGGACUUCAACCUGCUUCACUGGCUUGGUGCCAACGCCUUCCGCACCAGCCACUAUCCCUGCACAGAGGAGAUGCUGCAGAUGUGUGACCGUUAUGGGAUUGUGGUCAUUGAUGAGUGUCCCACUGUGGGCCUGGUGCUGCUAUGAGUCCCCACCACACAGCUGCUCUGCCUGGCCAGCCUGCGGGCCACACUGUGACCCUCCGUCCCUUCCCUCCUGGCCCCCUGGCAGCUCUUCAGCAACGUGUCUAUGCAUCACUACAUGUGGGUGAUGGAAGAACUGGUGCACAGAGACAAGAAUCACCCUGCCGUGGUGAUGUGGUCUGGCCAGGAGCCUGCCUCCUACCUGGAAUCUGCCGGCUACUACAUCAAGAAUUUUACUGCCUUGAUUGAGACAGAUUAUCAGAGGUGGGCACCGUUAUCCUCUCUUUCAUGCAGGAUUUAUCACAUCAGGUUCCUGCUCCAGCACGGCUCCUGGACUGGCCCCAGGUGCUGGCCAGGGGGUUUCUAUCCAAGUAUAAUUCACUGAAGCAUGUGUUUGGCAACAAGACCCAGCUCACUGUUUUAGGUCAGCCCAAGGCCACCCCCUCGGUCACUCUGUUCCCGCCGUCCUCUGAAGAGCUCCAAGCCAACAAGGCCACGCUGGUGUGUCUCAUGAGUGACUUCUAUCCGGGAAUCUUGACGGUGACCUGGAAGGCAGAUGGUACCCUCAUCACCCAGGGCAUGGAGAUGACCACGCCCUCCAAACAGAGCAACAACAAGUACGCGGCCAGCAGCUACCUGAGCCUGACGCCCGAGCAGUGGAGGUCCCGCAGAAGCUACAGCUGCCAGAUCACGCAUGAAGGGAGCACCGUGGAGAAGACAGUGGCCCCUGCAGAAUGUUCGUAGGUUCCCAACCCUCACCCCACCCACAGGGGCCUGGAGCUGCAGGAUCCCAGGGGAGGGGUCUCUCUGCAUUCCAAGCCAUCCAGCCCUUCUCCCUGUACCCAGUAAACCCUCAAUAAAUAUCCUCUUUGUCAACCAGAAA
RNA transcript from Cercocebus atys (sooty mangabey), 1781 nucleotides. It is a transcript of the gene named Ig lambda-6 chain C region-like, with no coding region annotated. NCBI's taxonomy places the organism in Eukaryota, Metazoa, Chordata, Mammalia, Primates, Cercopithecidae. The transcript has 4 exons. The record is from RefSeq and is a predicted model, not a curated record.